AGGGGGGUUUGAUCAUGGGCUCAGGACGAACGCUGGCGGCGUGCUUAACACAUGCAAGUCGAACGGAAAGGCCCUGCUUUUGUGGGGUGCUCGAGUGGCGAACGGGUGAGUAACACGUGAGCAACCUGCCCUUGACUUUGGGAUAACUUCAGGAAACUGGGGCUAAUACCGGAUAGGAGCUCCUGCUGCAUGGUGGGGGUUGGAAAGUUUCGGCGGUUGGGGAUGGACUCGCGGCUUAUCAGCUUGUUGGUGGGGUAGUGGCUUACCAAGGCUUUGACGGGUAGCCGGCCUGAGAGGGUGACCGGCCACAUUGGGACUGAGAUACGGCCCAGACUCCUACGGGAGGCAGCAGUGGGGAAUAUUGCACAAUGGGCGGAAGCCUGAUGCAGCAACGCCGCGUGCGGGAUGACGGCCUUCGGGUUGUAAACCGCUUUCGCCUGUGACGAAGCGUGAGUGACGGUAAUGGGUAAAGAAGCACCGGCUAACUACGUGCCAGCAGCCGCGGUGAUACGUAGGGUGCGAGCGUUGUCCGGAU
This 535-nucleotide ribosomal RNA is filed under the name uncultured Actinomycetes bacterium. Its description in RNAcentral is "bacterial SSU rRNA". It matches the Rfam family "Bacterial small subunit ribosomal RNA", at positions 1 to 550 of the family's 1533-position model. The record is from RNAcentral. Lineage: Bacteria; Bacillati; Actinomycetota; Actinomycetes.